AAGACUAUACUUUCAGGGAUCAUUUCUAUAGUUCAUUAUUAUCCAUCUGCUGCCCGCCUCCCACAAGGAAGCUCAUAGGGCUUGAG
This 86-nucleotide small nucleolar RNA is filed under the name Otolemur garnettii (small-eared galago). RNAcentral's name for it is "Small nucleolar RNA U3 (ENSOGAG00000023649.1)". The stretch from base 1 to 41 matches the Rfam family "Small nucleolar RNA U3", at positions 1 to 41 of the family's 219-position model. Lineage: Eukaryota; Metazoa; Chordata; Mammalia; Primates; Galagidae. The record is from RNAcentral.